RNAcentral lists this transfer RNA (69 nucleotides) under Marmota monax (woodchuck). It matches the Rfam family "tRNA". From Rfam's summary of the family: Transfer RNA (tRNA) molecules are approximately 80 nucleotides in length. Their secondary structure includes four short double-helical elements and three loops (D, anti-codon, and T loops). Further hydrogen bonds mediate the characteristic L-shaped molecular structure. tRNAs have two regions of fundamental functional importance: the anti-codon, which is responsible for specific mRNA codon recognition, and the 3' end, to which the tRNAs corresponding amino acid is attached (by aminoacyl-tRNA synthetases). tRNAs cope with the degeneracy of the genetic code in two manners: having more than one tRNA (with a specific anti-codon) for a particular amino acid; and 'wobble' base-pairing, i.e. permitting non-standard base-pairing at the 3rd anti-codon position. The record is from Rfam by way of RNAcentral. Lineage: Eukaryota; Metazoa; Chordata; Mammalia; Rodentia; Sciuridae.
GGGGCUGUGGCUCAGUGGUAGAGCACUUACCUAGCAUGUGUGAGGCACCAGAUUCAAGUCUCAGCACCA